This 490-nucleotide ribosomal RNA is filed under the name uncultured bacterium. RNAcentral's name for it is "partial 16S ribosomal RNA". It matches the Rfam family "Bacterial small subunit ribosomal RNA", at positions 30 to 507 of the family's 1533-position model. The record is from RNAcentral.
AUUGAACGCUGGCGGCAGGCCUAACACAUGCAAGUCGAACGGUAACAGGAAGCAGCUUGCUGCUUCGCUGACGAGUGGCGGACGGGUGAGUAAUGUCUGGGAAACUGCCUGAUGGAGGGGGAUAACUACUGGAAACGGUAGCUAAUACGGCAUAACGUCGCAAGACCAAAGAGGGGGACCUUAGGGCCUCUUGCCAUCGGAUGUGCCCAGAUGGGAUUAGCUAGUAGGUGGGGUAACGGCUCACCUAGGCGACGAUCCCUAGCUGGUCUGAGAGGAUGACCAGCCACACUGGAACUGAGACACGGUCCAGACUCCUACGGGAGGCAGCAGUGGGGAAUAUUGCACAAUGGGCGCAAGCCUGAUGCAGCCAUGCCGCGUGUAUGAAGAAGGCCUUCGGGUUGUAAAGUACUUUCAGCGGGGAGGAAGGGAGUAAAGUUAAUACCUUUGCUCAUUGACGUUACCCGCAGAAGAAGCACCGGCUAACUCCGUG